CUUCUCCGUGGAGAUCUUUUCUCUGGAGUUUUUGGUGAGCCCUGAUCCUCCGAAGGAGGCUCCUAGCAUUUUCCUGAAGAAGGAACACAUACAUGGGAGGAGGAACAAUGAACUGAAGAGCUUUGAGCUACUUAAAAAUAAGGUUCACUGCUGCCUCCCCCACCAUUCAUUGCUGUUCGAAAUGUAAAUGUGGAAGAAAAUGUGCCGAUCUUACAGAAGAGCCACAUACAUGAUGAGAAGUGUUCUGUAGUACCAAAGGGCAGGAUGCCAUCAUCCCCUUACUACACUGACCAAAAGACAGCUUAAUGAAAGCAAGAAGAACAGCCAAAAGUGGGUUUAUUGCAGCUGGUAGUUCCUGAGAUGCUUGCAGAGGACGGGAUACUAUAAACUGAUUUACCCUGUCUUGUUCUAAAGAUGAUGUCAGUGUGGUUGACUCUCAGGGACUUAAGGACUAAAUGCUCUGCAUGGCUUAAAAGAAAUCUCUUUUAUUGCAUAUCCUCAAACUUCCGUUCUUCCAAAAAUGCUUGCUGAUAACCAUCUCAAAUGAUCAAAUAAUUGUAGAAUAUCCUGAGUUGGAAGGAACCCACAAAGAUCACCCACGUCCAACUCCUGGAUCUGUGCUGGAUCACCCAAAAUUCAAACCCUUUAUCUGAGAGUGUUGUCCCAACUCCAGCAGAUGCUGAAGAGAACUGACCCUGGAAUGGAGCCCUGUGGAACCCCACUAGGGACAGGUCUCCAGCCUGGCAUAACCUCGUUUGAGCCAGACCUGUCAGCAAAUUGUUUUACCUACUGUAUAAGAAAGGAAGCUUUCAAGCCUUGGACCUUAGAAGACAGGAAACAUGAUCUGGCGUUACAUGCCUUAAGGGUUUUAACCCAGCCUGGACUGCAGGUCUCUGUGGAUGAAGGACUAUCCUUCGUGAAUGGGCCAUGUCUGGCAAUGGAGUCCAGUGACACUGCUGAACAAGAGAGUCAUAGCAGUCUUUUGCUCCUGUUAGCUUUCAAAACACUGAACUGAGCUCAAGUUGAAGAUGAUUUUUAUAACUUAACAUUUUGCUCUCUGUGGUUGCUAGUCCUCCUUAUUACUUUCUUUAGCUUAUUUUCCCUUUGCUGUCUGAAUUGCUUCCUCAAAUUCCACCCACCUUUGGCUUUCCCACUCAGCUGGAAGUAUGCAUCUAAAUGUCGAUAGAAAAGAAAAAGCGAAUUCAAAAAGGCUUUUAUAAGAUGCUGUUGCUGCUAAGGUGAAUCAUCUAUAAUAUACCAAAACCACAGAGAUGCCCCAUCUAAACUAAAGCCAGUUUAACUAAUGUGCUGAUGGGAACGUUCUGUGCUUGUAAGCAAGUUCACAGACUUCCUGCCAGAAGGGGGUAAUUACACAAAGGCCUCUAAUAAGCUCUAGAGUUUGUUUCAUGGAGUAGAGGUUUGAAAGCUGAGACAAACGAUAGACUUUCUUCCAGAAAUAUAGUUUUGUGACAUUGAAAGCUGGAAAACAUUAACCCUAGUUUAUAAAUGGGGAACCAAAGUGUGGAGAUGAUUACCUGAUUUGCCAAAUAUUUCGGAGACAGUAUGGGAGACAACUUAUGUGUGACAACCCUUCCAAGGACAAAUGAUACCUCUAAUGUGUGUAGAGUUGCUUAGCUCCUUGUUGCCUAGCAGUGUCUUACACUUCUGUACUUACUGGCUUUAAAGAAGCACCAAAUCAAAAUGGUAGCCUUUUUUUUAUGUAAAUACAAACACCAAAUGGAAGGAAAAGUUUAGCUGACCCUGGCAGUUUUAAUAGCUAUAUCAAUGUCAAGCAUUAUUUUUCUUUAUUCCACUCGUAUUCAAGAAAAGCAUAGAUUUACUACUUCUUUCCUUAAUGGAACAAAUCACUGAAACAUUUCAAGUGAUGGUGCUUUUCUAAGCAACCUAGAAUAAUUAACUGCACUAAAAUGCUUCCUGGCUUGUGUUACCACAAAAACUGUAAAAACAGUUUUACAAGCUCUUGUGCUUUACUGCAAAGCAAACACAUUAAAAACAUUUAAUG
Long non-coding RNA from Gallus gallus (chicken), 2023 nucleotides. The record is from Ensembl. Lineage: Eukaryota; Metazoa; Chordata; Aves; Galliformes; Phasianidae.